AUGAUUGGCCUGAAUGAGGAACCAGCUGAAAAUAAUGAUGAUCCAUUGUACUGUACACAACAUGCUGCUGGAAAUGCAGAAUUUGUGGCGGAAUCACCUAAUCCCCCUAUCAUCCAAAGAGUCGAUGGUGCUGCUACAGAAGCAAUGGAGACAGAUGGGCAGUCAAGUCAUGGGGGGCGUGCUCCGGGCAGUACACAAGUACCUGCAGCUGUAGAAGCUGGGAGUGAUGCUCAUACCCUUGAUGGCACAGGUGUUGCAGGUGAUCCCGGUGGCACUGUUAGUAAUGGUUUGGGUGCUGAAAAUGAUGAUGAAGCUUGGUCACAGCCCAAGGAGCCUUACAUGGGCAUGAGGUUCGACACUUUGGAAGAUGCCAAGGUGCAUUACAAUGCAUAUUCCUUGCAAAUGGGGUUUUCAAUCAAAAUGAAUAGUUCAAGGAAGGAUCUCAAAACCAGGGAGUUGAUAAAACAACAGUUUGUUUGCAACAAGUUUCGAAAGCCUGAUGUUGAUGACGGAGGGGCAGAAAAGAUUCCCAUGCUAGAUGACAUUGUUGAGCAAGCAAACGAUGAUAAUGAAGAUGAGGCUAUUGUCUUUCUUGAUGAUGAUAGUAAAGGCAAAAAGAGGAGCAAGAAACGAAAAAGAGAUAAAAUUGUGUAA
This 654-nucleotide ribosomal RNA is filed under the name Triticum aestivum (bread wheat). RNAcentral describes it as "partial small subunit ribosomal RNA". Lineage: Eukaryota; Viridiplantae; Streptophyta; Magnoliopsida; Poales; Poaceae. The record is from RNAcentral.